CGGGCGAGCCCGGCCCGGGGGGUCCCGCACCCGCGGGGCUGCGCCGGGCGCCGUCGGGCGCCGGUCCCGGGGGCUGCGAGCGGCUGUCGCGGAAGGGGGGGGGUGGGGGGGGCUCGAAAUGGGGCCCUGGGGCCGGGUUUCCUCCUGCCCCGGUUCUCGCUGCGGAGCCGCUUUGAGCUGCCGAGCCCGGCGGGGCCUGCGCGGCCCCGGGGAGCUCCCGGCAGAGGCCUCCCCGCGGGCCGAGCUCGGAGGCCCGGCGGAGCUGCGGGGCUCGCCGCGGCCGUGCCGCGGGGCCCGGGCUUCUCCCGCGGCGGCGUGAGGCUGGAGCUCGGCGCCGACUCCCCCGGAGCCGGAGCCCCGAAGUUUCUCCGUCUCGUUUCAACCGUUUCAUUUUUUAUUUUUUUAUUAUUUUUUUUUUUUUGCCUUGGCCUCUCAACCGCUGGCGACGGAGGCCAAAACUGCUGCUUCACGGCGUGCGUCCGAGACAUCGGGGGUGCUCUCAGCGGCCUGGAAAACCUUCGCUCCCGUCAAGCCGAGCGCGUUCUCUGCCUGCUGGGGAGACCGAAAAAAAAAAGAAAAAGCCGCGGGGCCGUCUGUGGCUGAGGCUGCUUUCAUCUGGGCAACCCGUGGAAACGUCGCGCCCCGAAACGCGGGGUGACGGCCCCGGGCUGGACGCUGCUGCCGCCGCCCCUGAGGGGGGCUCGGGCUGUUUCGCCCCUUGCCGUCUCGGAGGAGGCGGCUGGGGUGUCGCGGGUCAGCGGUGCCGGCCGGCCCGUAUUUUCUUUAGGGCUCUAAUUCUUCUGCUCCUCCCUUCUUCCACCAAGCGUUCCUGUGCACCUUUCCCUUCCGAUGUGGUUUCCAGCACUUUCUCCGUCCUCCAGACCUUUUCCAGACUUGCCGAGAGUCCUUGUGAUGCCGCCGUGGAUUAUGGAGACAGCUGCAGGGGAGAGUGGAGGACCAGAAAAGCCCUGGUUUCCCAGGUGCACUUGAAACCCUGA
RNAcentral lists this long non-coding RNA (998 nucleotides) under Anser cygnoides (Swan goose). RNAcentral's name for it is "lncRNA (ENSACDG00005012863.1)". The record is from RNAcentral. Lineage: Eukaryota; Metazoa; Chordata; Aves; Anseriformes; Anatidae.